GGAGGGAUCAUUACACAAAUAUGAAGGCGGGCUGGAACCUCUCGGGGUUACAGCCUUGCUGAAUUAUUCACCCUUGUCUUUUGCGUACUUCUUGUUUCCUUGGUGGGUUCGCCCACCACUAGGACAAACAUAAACCUUUUGUAAUUGCAAUCAGCGUCAGUAACAAAUUAAUAAUUACAACUUUCAACAACGGAUCUCUUGGUUCUGGCAUCGAUGAAGAACGCAGCGAAAUGCGAUAAGUAGUGUGAAUUGCAGAAUUCAGUGAAUCAUCGAAUCUUUGAACGCACAUUGCGCCCUUUGGUAUUCCAAAGGGCAUGCCUGUUCGAGCGUCAUUUGUACCCUCAAGCUUUGCUUGGUGUUGGGCGUCUUGUCUCUAGCUUUGCUGGAGACUCGCCUUAAAGUAAUUGGCAGCCGGCCUACUGGUUUCGGAGCGCAGCACAAGUCGCACUCUCUAUCAGCAAAGGUCUAGCAUCCAUUAAGCCUUUUUUCAACUUUUGACCUCGGAUCAGGUAGGGAUACCCGCUGAACUU
RNAcentral lists this ribosomal RNA (530 nucleotides) under uncultured Alternaria. RNAcentral's name for it is "eukaryotic LSU rRNA". The stretch from base 179 to 332 matches the Rfam family "5.8S ribosomal RNA". Lineage: Eukaryota; Fungi; Ascomycota; Dothideomycetes; Pleosporales; Pleosporaceae. The record is from RNAcentral.